GAAAAGUAGCGCGCUCAGACCAGCUCGCUCACUCUUUUCCUCUUCCAUUUUUUAGGGCAAUUGUUUUGUUUGAUAGACGAAGCUUAGGGUCUCUUUGGGUUUGCAACCCUUACCCUCCUGGAAAAAAUCAUAGUUGCUAGACUGCGACACUUCAGACCAGGUACUAUUAGAGCCGCUAAUGGACGACGAGCUAUUUUCCGCUAUCCGGAGCUCAAGCAUUUGAGCCGCUAAAUGGACGAGACUCCUGGGGUAAAGGAUGCAGGGAGUAGGUAUUGUACUACUUCCUGGUAUGGAGCACUGAGAAGCGCUUGGUGACAUCGUCCAAGAUCGACAGGGAUGGCGGGUCACCUGCCGUGACGCUGUCGACGCUAUUGUCCAGUCCCGCAUGGAGCCUGUGGCGAAGCCCCUCAUUUGUGGCACAGGAUAUUGCGACGCACAAGUGUAACGCUGUUCGCACGGCCCGCGCGCGCUGAGUACGGCGUUCCCCGCCCGGUGGACAACACGUCUCCUGGUCUGCCCCGUAUGGGGCCACAUAGCCAGUCAUGGCAGUGGAAGAAGGAAGGAAGGAAGCUUUCACCGUCCAGGAGCGACACUGACUCGCACUGCUAUCUGGUGCUCACGAGGUGCUUGUCGCGCUGCAAACGGAGCGUCUCUCAUUAGGCGAUUUGAUCGCAGGACGAGAGAGGAGCUGAUGGACGAUCUCUCCAAUGUUCCUCUUGGUUCGGAGCGGCGCCGAGUGCUGACGUUGGGACUUGGCACCGCUAGCUAAACCGACCAACGGCUACUCCCAGGGCACAAACUAUUCUGCUGGAGGCAGCGUCGUCUUCGGCUGAAAUUCCGGAUACAACCUGCAGGGAAGCAUUGUGCGCAUCUGCCAGAUUGACGGUUCCUGGAGUGGGGCAGCUGCCUCGUGUAAUCCCAUUCAACUGCAGUGCCAGUCUGGCUACCUGCCCUGCCUGCGUUCCAGUGGCUGUAUCCUGCCAUCACAGCGCUGCGACGGUGUUUGGUACGACUGUGCUGAUGGCUCUGAUGCACAGUACUGCCCAGGCAAGGUCACACCAGCUCCAGGUCAAACCGACUGCCAGGUCCUGUCACCACCGGCACUGGGCUCAAUGACCGUGAACGGCUUGAUGUUCAGCAACACGACCACGUUUGUGUGCACAUCUCCCUAUGUCCUUAUGGGCUCGGCCGUGCGUACUUGUGAAAUCUACGGCCAGUGGAGCGGUGUGCAGCCAGCUUGCGUCCUGACGACUGCUGCUCUGAGUGCGGCCAGUGACGAGCUAGUCAAGGACUCCGUCUCAGAACGCAUGACACAAACGUGUUAGCUCCCGCUCCAUGCCCAUUGUUGGAGCGACAGUCCUGGAAUCCAGAGUUGCAAGUGAGGUGGUGAUACGGCAAGAAGACGGUGGCAAAGUACGGCUUAAAAGCUCUACAUCUAGCAAGUGGCCGGCAUACCACCCCAAUGGACAUCGGAACAGUACACGUAGAGUAGCAUCUCUACGUGACAGGGUAUGAGCGCAAGCCAGUAUUGCCAAGCACUGGGGACCUUUGGCAAUCUGAAUGUUUUGUCCGAGAAUCGAUCCUUGGAUCUGUGGCGUUGCAGUUGUGGUGCUCCCGACCCUCUUGCGCGAUGGCCGCGGAGACUUGGCGAAAAGGUUCGAGAUAUACGGCAUCUCAAUAUCUUCCACCACAAUCAGUACAUCAGCACCACCAUCGAGUGUAGCGACAUCAGCAAUAGAAGACACACAUGAUAUCAUUCACCCUUACGGCCUUAGCGAAGACCCGGGAAUACCUGAGAAGAUGUUAGCCGCAACUUUACUGGAAAAGUCGUCGGUGACAACGGCACUCCAUAUUUUAGCUGCAUGCAGUUAGGUCUCUCAACAAGUGUACCCAAAGUUUUCAAGCUAAUACACAAGCAAAUUCACUAGGGGCCGAGUAUAUUUUCCUACACCUCUCCCUGUUUGUUGUUGUUUUUUCUGCAUUCAAAUUGUUUGUGUACCUGUACAUUUAUUACAGUAGAGCCACGUAUCCACGGCUGUUGUUUCCAAGGUCAGGCUCGUCAGUUAUACAAACCUUUCAGCAAUCUGGCCUUAGGCUUAGUUCCUUGACUUCUUGUACCACCUUAGAUGCACAUCCCACUGGAUAGUGAGCAAUACGUGUGUAGCAGAAUCUGUAUUCCAGAAAAGCAGAGACUUGAGUCUAUUGACACUGCGUUUCGUUUUAAAACGUUAUUGGCUGUGGUGUUCCUAGAGGUAUACUAUACACGUACAUUCCUGGGUCCCACGUUCUGUGACGCCCGACUGUAUUCGUGGUGCCUCAACAACUUUUAAUUUUGUGCACUCGGGAAAACCUGCCUGAGGCUGUGAGGCUGCAGAGUGUUGGCUGUGUUUUGCUUUAAAAAACCAUCAGGUCUCCCCAGA
This is a long non-coding RNA of Sycon ciliatum, 2420 nucleotides long. RefSeq lists it as uncharacterized. The transcript has 10 exons. The record is from RefSeq and is a predicted model, not a curated record. NCBI's taxonomy places the organism in Eukaryota, Metazoa, Porifera, Calcarea, Leucosolenida, Sycettidae.